This is a long non-coding RNA of Herpailurus yagouaroundi (jaguarundi), 1429 nucleotides long. RefSeq lists it as uncharacterized. The transcript is spliced from 2 exons. The record is from RefSeq and is a predicted model, not a curated record. Lineage: Eukaryota; Metazoa; Chordata; Mammalia; Carnivora; Felidae.
CAUUGCAGCACUAGGCUGGGGGCCAUUUAAAAUAACAGCAACAAUAAAAAGCAUACACCUGUGAAAAGUGUGGCCCAAAGGAGACUCCAAGAAGGACACUUGUUGAUAGUAUGGAAGCUGAAACAAAGCAGAGUGUCCCCUUGUUAAACCUCAGCUGGGAACUUGCAUGCCAGGUUGACUCAAUUUUUUUUUCUUUCUGUUCAUAUCCAUUAAGGACCAUGAAAGUGCCAUAAAUAUGGGUUUGGGGGUUUCAAAUAAAUUUUAGUGAGUAGGCAGAUUUGCAAAUACAGGAUCCAUGAAUAAUGAGGAUUGCCUGUAUUCUCAUCCACACUUUACACAGGCAAAAAUUCAGGGUCAAAUUGCUUCAGACACGGACCCAGUAAGUGGCAGAGUAUGUUCCUUCCACAAGACAAGCGCAAGGUACUGCCCUGUCUCAGACGUUCUCUUGCCUUUCUGAACUCAGUAACUCCUAGGGUAGAGGGGCAGCCCUUCCCUCCUCUGAGUUCCAAAAGCAGUGAUAAGGACAUGAUCACAUUAACUGAGCACUUGUCAUGUGCUGGCUUCUGUGCUAAGUGCUGUUUGAGUACUGACUCAUUUAAUCUCACACCCACCUUUGUGAGUCAGUUCUGUUGACAUCACUACUGUAAGUAUGCACAGAGUGGGUAGUCAGUGUGGCCGCUGUCACCCAACUUGUAAGAGGAAGUUCUAGGAUCCUAUCACAGGCAGCUCAAGCCUUUGGCAGGUGCACCGCACACACAACCUUAGUACCUAAUCCUAACCUCUACUGUUCAUGCAACAUGCUGUGUGGAAGUUACCUAUUUGAUUCUCUGCUUUCCUCCAAAAGACCGUGAGUUCACUAAAAACAUCAGCCUUAUUUUAUUCCUCUCUGUGUCCCCGCCGCCUGGCCCAGAUGCUAACAUGCACCAGGAGGUCAGCAAGUAAUUAGCAGAUAAAUAACCAAAGACAUGAACCAAUGCACCUCCACCUCCGCCUUCCUGGUACCCAGCACAGGGCCUGGCACACAGGGGUUGUUCAACAAAUAUUUGCUCAAGAGGAUGGUCAACAUUUUCCACGAGCAGCAUUACUUUCCAGCAAGAGAGGAUACUACGUUCUCCAGUGCUUCUGUCCACCAGCUCUAGGCAGGCAACAGUGCCAGCCCCUCCUCUGAGCUGUGACAGGAUGCCUCCUGGCUCUGAAAGAGUCCAGCUAAUUAGACUCGUGUCUGCCAACAGAGAGAGUGGACAAAUACUGAGAGGAAACUGUUAGCAGAGAAGAGGAGGAUAACGCGCUGGCGAGAGCAGUGAGGAGAACAAUACAAUGACUACCACUCUGAGCAUCUACCAUGUUUGGGGAGCUGUCCUAGGUGCUGAUUCAUAACAAACAGUGAGGCAUGUUAAGCACGAUAAAAUCGGGGUUUAUUCCUAGCUUG